This 974-nucleotide long non-coding RNA is filed under the name Sus scrofa (pig). Its description in RNAcentral is "lncRNA (ENSSSCG00060073360.1)". The record is from RNAcentral. Lineage: Eukaryota; Metazoa; Chordata; Mammalia; Artiodactyla; Suidae.
CCAGGUCCCACAGUCUGAGGGACCCAUCCUUAGUGGGUGGGGGUGAGCUAGGGUGGGGCCUGGCUGACGAUACGACAGUGUUGAUGGCCUUUUCUGCUUUCACAUCUCGAAGCUUGGACAAGUGAUGAACUUGGGGAACGUUUGCUCAAUGAACACAGAUUUUAUGGGACUAAGUUGAAAUGCACCCCCCACCCCUUACUCCAUACUCUGACUCACAGGACCCCAAGCAGUGCUCAGUGAAGGGAUGCCCAACAAGAAGAGAGGAAGAAGGCAGCCUUUGCCUCAAGAUGCAGGAUUAUCUGCUUCCAACAUCUGCUGCCAUUGCUGGCUCUGGCCGCUGUCCCAUUUUCCUCUCAGAGCUCUCCUGGAGGCACAGGCUCCUCAGGCUCUCUGGAGCAGGUGGAAAGAACCCAUGGCUCUUCAGUCUCGAAUCCCCGUCUCUCUGCUGCCCCCUAGUGGACAUUGACGGCGCUGUCCUGAGGGAAGACUAGGUGUUUAACUUGGUGUGUUCGUGUGUUCAGAAAGGUGUGAUGAGCUUUGACUCCAACACAUUUCUGCAAACCUGCUUACCCCACUGGUUAAGGCAAGCACUGCCCUCACACAUCCUCAGUGAUGGGGAUAACCUGUCAGUUCCUCAAAUUCUCUCUCCCUCCCUCUCUCUCUCUCACACAGUUUGGUGUGAAAAGCUUGUGUAACAGCAGAGACCGUGUCUGUUUUGCUCACAGCUCUAUUUCUGGUGCCCAUCACAGGGUUUGGCACAUAGUAGGUGCUCAGUCCAUGUGUGCGGAAUGAGUAAUGCCCUCAUAGCCAUCAGGUGGCCAUGUUGCCCCCACCCCUGCUCCACCCUCCCCCUCUACAGAAGCUGUGAGAAGUGAAAGGGCAACCAGAGAAGGGGGCGGGGCGGUUUUGUGCUGGGCGCUGCCUGUACAAAGCUAAAUGUGAUGUAUCCUGGAGAGAAAAUUUUUUUUUUCUUU